This 625-nucleotide ribosomal RNA is filed under the name Hemipyrellia pulchra. RNAcentral's name for it is "eukaryotic LSU rRNA". It matches the Rfam family "Eukaryotic large subunit ribosomal RNA", at positions 263 to 779 of the family's 3401-position model. The record is from RNAcentral. Lineage: Eukaryota; Metazoa; Arthropoda; Insecta; Diptera; Calliphoridae.
AGUCGUGUUGCUUGAUAGUGCAGCACUAAGUGGGUGGUAAACUCCAUCUAAAACUAAAUAUAACCAUGAGACCGAUAGUAAACAAGUACCGUGAGGGAAAGUUGAAAAGAACUCUGAAUAGAGAGUUAAAUAGUACGUGAAACUGCUUAGAGGUUAAGCCCGAUGAACCUGAAUAUCCAUUAUGGAAAAUUCAUCAUUAUGAUUUUAAUAUUUAUAAUAUUAUGAUUAUGGUGUGCAUUUUUUCUAUAAAGGACAUUGUAAUCUAUUAAUAUAGAUUUAUUUAUCAUAAGAUCGUUAGCGUAAGUUUAUUCAAAUUAUUUUGCUUGCAUUUUAAUAUCGAAUAAAUGCUUUUGAUUUGAUAAAGUGUUGAUAGAUUUAUUAUAUACAGUGCUUGAAUAUUUAUAUUUUAUAAUAGCAUAUUAAUCAAUGAUUUUUAUGUUCAUUAUAUGCACUUGUAUGAUUAACAAUGCGAAAGAUUCAGGAUACCUUCGGGACCCGUCUUGAAACACGGACCAAGGAGUCUAACAUAUUUGCAAGUUAUUGGGAAUAAAAACCUAAUAGCGAAAUUAACAUAACUUUAUUUAAUGGGAUUAGUUUUUAGUUCUAUUUAUAGUCUAUUAAUUCA